UACGUAGGUGGCAAGCGUUAUCCGGAUUUAUUGGGCGUAAAGGGAACGCAGGCGGUCUUUUAAGUCUGAUGUGAAAGCCUUCGGCUUAACUGGAGUAGUGCAUUGGAAACUGGGAGACUUGAGUGCAGAAGAGGAGAGUGGAACUCCAUGUGUAGCGGUGAAAUGCGUAGAUAUAUGGAAGAACACCAGUGGCGAAAGCGGCUCUCUGGUCUGUAACUGACGCUGAGGUUCGAAAGCGUGGGUAGCAAACAGG
This 253-nucleotide ribosomal RNA is filed under the name uncultured bacterium. Its description in RNAcentral is "partial 16S ribosomal RNA". It matches the Rfam family "Bacterial small subunit ribosomal RNA", at positions 524 to 776 of the family's 1533-position model. The record is from RNAcentral.